RNAcentral lists this ribosomal RNA (237 nucleotides) under Klebsiella pneumoniae. RNAcentral's name for it is "partial 16S ribosomal RNA". It matches the Rfam family "Bacterial small subunit ribosomal RNA", at positions 1 to 232 of the family's 1533-position model. Lineage: Bacteria; Pseudomonadati; Pseudomonadota; Gammaproteobacteria; Enterobacterales; Enterobacteriaceae. The record is from RNAcentral.
ACUUAAAUUGAAGAGUUUGAUCAUGGCUCAGAUUGAACGCUGGCGGCAGGCCUAACACAUGCAAGUCGAGCGGUAGCACAGAGAGCUUGCUCUCGGGUGACGAGCGGCGGACGGGUGAGUAAUGUCUGGGAAACUGCCUGAUGGAGGGGGAUAACUACUGGAAACGGUAGCUAAUACCGCAUAAUGUCGCAAGACCAAAGUGGGGGACCUUCGGGCCUCAUGCCAUCAGAUGUGCCC